Molecule: ribosomal RNA, 374 nt
Filed under: uncultured bacterium
Lineage: Bacteria
Description: bacterial SSU rRNA
Rfam family: Bacterial small subunit ribosomal RNA
Source: RNAcentral
AACGAACGCUGGCGGCAGGCUUAACACAUGCAAGUCGAACGCAUCCUUCGGGGUGAGUGGCAGACGGGUGAGUAACACGUGGGAACGUACCUUUCGGUUCGGGAUAACCCAGGGAAACUUGGGCUAAUACCGGAUACGUCCUUAGGGAGAAAGAUUCAUUGCCGAAAGAUCGGCCCGCGUCUGAUUAGCUAGUUGGUGAGGUAACGGCUCACCAAGGCGACGAUCAGUAGCUGGUCUGAGAGGAUGAUCAGCCACACUGGGACUGAGACACGGCCCAGACUCCUACGGGAGGCAGCAGUGGGGAAUAUUGGACAAUGGGCGCAAGCCUGAUCCAGCCAUGCCGCGUGAGUGAUGAAGGCCCUAGGGUUGUAAAG